RNAcentral lists this ribosomal RNA (403 nucleotides) under uncultured bacterium. RNAcentral describes it as "partial 16S ribosomal RNA". It matches the Rfam family "Bacterial small subunit ribosomal RNA", at positions 30 to 526 of the family's 1533-position model. The record is from RNAcentral.
AUUGAACGCUGGCGGCAGGCCUAACACAUGCAAGUCGAGCGAGCGGCGGACGGGUGAGUAAUGUAUGGGGACUGCCCGAUAUAGGGGGAUGACUACUGGAAACGGUGGCUAAUACCGCCUACUCUCGGAUAACCCAUAUGGGUUUAGCUAGUAGGUGGGGUAAAGGCUCACCUAGGCGACGAUCUCUAGCUGGUCUGAGAGGAUGAAAAGCCACACUGGGACUGAAACACGGCCCAGUCCCCGACGGAGGCAGCGGUGGGGAGUAUAGCACAAUGGACGGAAGCCUGAUGCAGCCAAGCCGCGUAGAUUAAGGAGGCCUUGGGGUUGUAAAGUACUUUCAGCGGGAAGGCGUUACCCGCUGAAGAAGCACCGGCUAACUCCGUGCCAGCAGCCGCGGUAAUAC